UGGGGAAUUUUGGACAAUGGGCGCAAGCCUGAUCCAGCCAUGCCGCGUGGGUGAAGAAGGCCUUCGGGUUGUAAAGCCCUUUCGGCCGGGAAGAAAACGUGCGGGCGAACAGUCUGCAUGGAUGACGGUACCGGAAGAAGAAGCACCGGCUAACUACGUGCCAGCAGCCGCGGUAAUACGUAGGGUGCGAGCGUUAAUCGGAAUUAUUGGGCGUAAAGCGUGCGCAGGCGGCGCCAUAAGACAGCUGUGAAAUCCCCGGGCUUAACCGGGGAACUGCGGUUGNGACUGUGGUGCUAGAGUACGGCAGAGGGAGGUGGAAUUCCUGGUGUAGCAGUGAAAUGCGUAGAGAUCAGGAGGAACACCGAUGGCGAAGGCAGCCUCCUGGGCUGAUACUGACGCUCAUGCACGAAAGCGUGGGGAGCAAACA
This 427-nucleotide ribosomal RNA is filed under the name uncultured bacterium. RNAcentral describes it as "bacterial SSU rRNA". It matches the Rfam family "Bacterial small subunit ribosomal RNA", at positions 355 to 774 of the family's 1533-position model. The record is from RNAcentral.